This 438-nucleotide RNase P RNA is filed under the name human gut metagenome. RNAcentral describes it as "Bacterial RNase P class A". It matches the Rfam family "Bacterial RNase P class A". Rfam says of the family: Ribonuclease P (RNase P) is a ubiquitous endoribonuclease, found in archaea, bacteria and eukarya as well as chloroplasts and mitochondria. Its best characterised activity is the generation of mature 5'-ends of tRNAs by cleaving the 5'-leader elements of precursor-tRNAs. The record is from RNAcentral.
AGCAGGCCGAGCAGCCGCGGGCACAAGCCGAAAGGCUGUGCGUGAGGAAAGUCCGGGCUCCACAGGGCAAGGAUAACGGGUAACACCCGCCAGGGGCGACCCUCGGACAAGUGCAACAGAGAGAUACCGCCGCGUCACAAAUCCGACUGCAGCCCGCUGCAGUCGGAGGAGGAGAUGCAGCGAAAUGCGUAAGCUCCGCCGCUUGCGGCAGAGCGAACGAUAUGGAGCUUGCAUCGACGCGGUAAGGGUGGAAAAGUGAGGUAAGAGCUCACUCGUCGGCUGGAGACAGUUCGAUGCUGUAAACUCUAUCCGGAGCAACACCGCGGAGGGACAUCAGGCCGGCCCGGCCGUCCCAUGGAGGUGGCUGGAACGCACCGGCAACGGUGCGUCUAGAUAGAUGGCUGCUUAAGACAGAACCCGGCUUACAGACCUGCUCGU